UAGCGUAUAUUAAAGUUGUUGCGGUUAAAAAGCUCGUAGUUGGAUUUCUGUUGAGGACAUCUGGUCCGCUCUAUGAGCGUGCAUCUAGCUUGGCCUCGGCAUCCGCCCUGCAUACGUGUCUGCGCUUGAUUGCGUGGCGCGGAGGUAGGGCCUUUUACUUUGAGGAAAUUAGAGUGUUCACGGCAGGCAAUCGCCUUGAAUAUAUUAGCAUGGAAUAAUAACAUAGGAUCUUGGUUCUAUUUUGUUGGUUUCUAGGGCUAGGAUAAUGAUUAAUAGGGACAGUUGGGGGCAUUCGUAUUGCGGUGUC
RNAcentral lists this ribosomal RNA (307 nucleotides) under Amoebophrya sp. RNAcentral's name for it is "SSU rRNA". It matches the Rfam family "Eukaryotic small subunit ribosomal RNA", at positions 595 to 906 of the family's 1831-position model. Lineage: Eukaryota; Dinophyceae; Syndiniales; Amoebophryaceae. The record is from RNAcentral.